GACGAACCGUGCGAACGUUGUUCGGAAUCACUGGGCUUAAAGGGCGCGUAGGCGGGCUGUCAAGUCUGGGGUGAAAUCCCGCGGCUCAACCGUGGAACUGCCUCAGAUACUGACGGCCUCGAGGGAGAUAGGGGCGAGCGGAACUAAUGGUGGAGCGGUGAAAUGCGUUGAUAUCAUUAGGAACUCCGGUGGCGAAGGCGGCUCGCUGGAUCUCUUCUGACGCUGAGGCGCGAAAGCUAGGGGAGCAAACGGG
This 253-nucleotide ribosomal RNA is filed under the name uncultured bacterium. Its description in RNAcentral is "partial 16S ribosomal RNA". It matches the Rfam family "Bacterial small subunit ribosomal RNA", at positions 524 to 776 of the family's 1533-position model. The record is from RNAcentral.